Molecule: ribosomal RNA, 483 nt
Filed under: uncultured bacterium
Lineage: Bacteria
Description: bacterial SSU rRNA
Rfam family: Bacterial small subunit ribosomal RNA
Source: RNAcentral
AGGACGAACGCUGGCGGCGUGCUUAACACAUGCAAGUCGAACGGAAAGGCCCUGCUUUGUGGGGUGACUCGAGUGGCGAACGGGUGAGUAACACGUGAGUAACCUGCCCUUGACUUUGGGAUAACUUCAGGAAACUGGGGGCUAAUACCGGAUAGGAGCUCCUGCUGCAUGGUGGGGGUUGGAAAGUUUCGGCGGUUGGGGGAUGGACUCGCGGCUUAUCAGCUUGUUGGUGGGGUAGUGGCUUACCAAGGCUUUGACGGGUAGCCGGCCUGAGAGGGUGACCGGCCACAUUGGGACUGAGAUACGGCCCAGACUCCUACGGGAGGCAGCAGUGGGGAAUAUUGCACAAUGGGCGGAAGCCUGAUGCAGCAACGCCGCGUGCGGGAUGACGGCCUUCGGGUUGUAAACCGCUUUCGCCUGUGACGAAGCGUGAGUGACGGUAAUGGGUAAAGAAGCACCGGCUAACUACGUGCCAGCCGCCGC